Long non-coding RNA from Leucoraja erinaceus (little skate), 2962 nucleotides. RefSeq lists it as uncharacterized. The transcript is spliced from 3 exons. The record is from RefSeq and is a predicted model, not a curated record. NCBI's taxonomy places the organism in Eukaryota, Metazoa, Chordata, Chondrichthyes, Rajiformes, Rajidae.
ACCUUGGGCGCUCCGAUGUCCAGAAUAUGGUGAAAUCGUACCCAUCCUGCUGGACACAGAAGCACCCGUCAACUACCUCCUCCCGGUCCAGCAUCAUCAUCAGCCAAGGCCGCAGAAGGUCAAGACGGUGCGAGACGCCCACACCAUACGAAAGCCAGACCGGCCCGGGUCAGCACCGACGAGGCAGUAAGGGGGAUUGUUCUGGACGCAGGUGUAAAGGUCCAGUAAGUUUUUCUCCCCCAUUUGGCGCGCCUCACUUUCCUGGCAGGUUGCCAGCCACAGUAGUCGGAGCUGCGCUGUUUGCUGAUAAUACUGCUCGCCGCCUCAAAACACGCAGAAACCUUUAAAACAAAUCUCUGCAGCAUCGCAGCGAUACUCAAGGAUGUUUAAAUGUACGGCUGUACCUGCUCCGAAUUCCAAAAAGAUGUUUGAACUCACUCUUUUUUUUGUUUUUGGACGGGAGCUCUGCAACACCACACCUCCUCGCGUAACCUGCUUGGAGGGGAUGAUGUUAAACGCCGAGCUGUAGAAUAGGAACAACUGCCUGACGUAUGUAACAAAGUCUAAUUUUUGCCAGUUGUAAGAGAAUUCUAGAUGCAUAAAUACAAGAUAAAUGAGAGUUUAAUGUAUUUGCAAAUAGCAACCAGCCUACAAUUUGCUCAUCUACCAGAACCAAGUCAACCAACUGUAAUAGCCAUUAUGUCCACUGAAAUAUUUAUGUUGUGAUUUUAUGUCAUUCUUAAUCUGUGUAAUAAAGUCCAAGAGGACCAAGAGAUUCAUAUCUGUUUGUAUUCAUUUAGUGCCUCAUUUUAUCAUCUUUUGCAAUUUGAUGCAUCAAUAAAUGUUCAGAAAAAUAUUCAAUUAUGAUUCAUAGGUGCACAAGAAUGCCCAUGAAGAUUUUCCUAAAUUUCAGCUGUUGGUAAAACUGUGUAAAUCCCAGGUAACGUGAUAAUAUCUGCUAGAUUUCUUUGAUUUAAAUCAGCAUCUGCAGUUCUUUCCUACACAUUAGUACACAUUCCUUCUCUCCAGAGAUGCUGCUUGUCUCGCUGACUUACUCCAGCAUUUUGUGUCUAGCUUUAGUAAAACCUAAGUUGAUUUAAAAAUAUCCCAUUGAAUUAUUUUGUUUUAAGGAAUAGCAUUAUCUUAAUUAUGUAGCUUCUAUGAUAAUGGCAAUUCUCCUGGUCCACAUUAAUGCAAAGCAAGUAAUGGAAGAGAAAGCUCAGCAGGUGGCUUGAAUUAUCAUAGUUUUAUUUUUAUUGUGAUGCUGUACCAAUAUUAUUAGCAAGCAUAGAAAAUCAAAGCAUUUUUUUCCUUUGUACUACAACUGAAAAUGUUGAUCAGUAGUAGGUGCAUUUGUCCAUGAUAAUAUUAGCUGGAGUAACUAUCACCCAGCUCUUGUGGUGACAAAUUGUCAUUCUGACACUGACACCACUCUCUGGUGCGUUUUGUGACAAUACGAUUGGGCUAAAUAGGAUAGAAUUAGAAUAAAUUGCACAGUUCAAAACUUAGUGAAAUAUCAGUUGAUGAAGAAUUGUAUGCCAUCAUAAUUUCUGGUCUGAAAAAAGGUUUCAACCCGAAACAUCAUCCAUUCCUUCACUCCAGAGUUGCUGCCUGUCCUGCUGAGUUACUCCAACAAUUUGUCUAUCUUCGGUUUAAACCAGCAACUGCAGUUCCUUCCUACCAAGAGCGGAACUCGCUAUCAAAACAUGGAGGGGACAGGGGACACAAUUUGUUGGCGGCCACGCGCGCAUGCCCACACUCACACACAUGCACGCACGAGGCUUCGGAGGCUCAAUCGAGCGCUAAAUGAAGCUCAACUCUGCCUGUCUCACCGGGUUAACUACAGCCCUGUCUGGACUGACGGGAUACCAGCGCUGCUUCUCCGCGCUGGCCAUAUUUCCCACAAGUCCAUCCAGGGUUGUACUUCACUUGGCGGGACAGGCAGAGUUGAGCUGGGUUUAGCGCUGUUUCUCUGUGCUGGUUGUGGGCCUGGGGGCACAGCUUGCAUUUGACCCGACCUCUCUGGCCACCCGUGGGGGGGGGGGGGGCACUCGGGACAGCGCCGGAGACCCAGCCGUGAUCGAUCCUGCCUGCGGAUGAGGCGCAGGCAUUCUGUCUGGAGCGAGGAUGGCUUGCAUACAAUCUAUUUACGUGGGCCUGCGACUACUGCUGAGGCAAAUGGAGGAUCUGCAGACGUUUCCACAGAUGGCACAAAAGAGAAAGAAAAUAAAGAAUUUCAAGAAAAACACGAAAAAGGAAAAAGGAAAACCCCAGAACUAAUGAAGGAGUGAAAGAAGCAGAGAUAUAUCCCACUGCCCUUCCAUUCGCCUGCCCACUAGCGUCGGUUUUGAGUUUGUGUUCAACCAUUUUGUUGUUGAAGAAAUUCAAUAAAAGGAGACCAUAUUUUGGAAAAUUGAUCUGGUUUGUCAAUCAAGACAAGACUUAUUUUUUCUAGAUGUAGUGUCUGGGUCAUUUCUGUAAUCCACAUCUUCACUGUGGGGACUGUUAUCUUUUUCCAGAAUUUAAGUAUAAGUUUUUUCGCAGUUAUUAAACCAUAGUCAACGAAGCGUCUUUGAAAUAUCGUUAGAUUAGGGCAGCCCUCUGACAUUCCUAAUAUUAUUAGAUUUGGAUCUGGCUCCAAUUGAGUGUUUCAGAAAUAAUAUUGAAUAUUUCCGUCCACAAGUUUUGUAUUUUUAUACAGGAUACCAAAGAAUGAGUUAGGGUGGCUUCUUGAAAGUGACAUUUAUCACAAAGAGGGGAGACAGUUGGGAAGAUCUUGUUCAAUUUGGUCUUUGAGUAGUAUAACCUAUGCAAUAUUUUAAAUUGUAUCAAGCAAUGCCUGGCAUUUAAAGAACGGUAGUGUAUGUAUCGUAGGCUUUCCUCCCAUAUAUCUUUCGAAAUGGGUAAACCCAGCUCGUCCUCCCAUGUUCGCCUAUACAGCUCAGAGGGUGGGGUGUCAAUA